CCCUCAGCGCUGCGAGCCUUGCUGACCGGCUUUUUUCCUGGGAAAGGAGACACACCGCGCUCAGCUCUCCCUGUACAUCCCUUCCUACAGCUCUGUGCACCUCGCUGCUAAUUGACUUUGUGUGACUUGUCAGAGCACUGCAGUCAGUCAGUGUAACCCUGUCAGAAGCCGCAGCGCUGGGGGACUGCGCUCUGCCAGACACAGCUAGAGACCCUUGGUGAUUCCCCACACCGUGCUCGUCCAGGGAAGGCUGGCGUGUGGGCGUUGGAUUGUGUCAUUCGUAGGAGGUGAGCGUCAAAGGAAGUGGGAUCAACUGCUGGAGAUUUGUAAUCCAGCCUUCCUGGCAUUUAACCCUGCGUUCGUUGGACGCUCGCUUUCCCAUCGAUCUCAAAAGGACCUCUAGGUCAGAAGGGAGGAGAGCUCAGCCUGCUGAUGGCAGAGUGUUUGUGGGAGGAUGCAUCUGCAGUUUCUGGAAACAUGGUACUUCGCUCUGCCUUCAGCCAAGUAUUUUGGUGGGAAAACCAAGGACUUUGGAUAAGCCAGGUGCAAGUUUGGAUGUCACCUCUUCCUAACUGUGACUGCCCAUAAGCCAGGAACAGCAAUAUACUGCCUCAGGUCCUUCGUGUUAAUGCUCUGGGCACGACUACAGUAAGUUGUCAAUGGUCAGUUCUUUUAUGGGUUCCUUCUUGGGAGGCUUCACUUCAUAAAAUGCUCCCAUUAAAUUUAGAAGAUGGUAGCCUGCCUCAGCCAAGGUGUCAAGGACAGAAGAACUCAAGAGAAUGGCUUCUGUAACCCUGUGUGUCACAGCCCAGCACUUUGUGUUUGAAGCAGUCGUCACUGGUUUUAACAAAGCAGGUGUUGAGCAAGAAAGGGCAACCUGAGCCAUGCUAAUAUCAAAAAGGCCCAGAACAGACAACCCUUCUUAAAACUUCUGGGGACAAUACAAAGGUAGCCUGUGGUUUUCGUCUGCCAUUUGAGCCAUUGAGUUUUUGGGUGUCUUGCUGCUUCCUAUUUUCUUUUCUGUGCAUGCUCAGACUGGUCCAGCUCAGGCUGUCUGUUCUUAACACACCCUUAACGAAGCAUUUGCAAACUCUGUAACACUUCUGCUCUUUCAGAGCCUUUUCGUUUUCAGUUGUUCAGUGCUUCUUUUCACAGCCUGCCUUUGCUUACCUGCACAUCUCAGUACUCCUUUACCUCUCUCCCCCAUAAAAAAAUUCCCAGGUUUGCCAUUCCCAUUAUUAGUAAAAUAUGCCAGUUUGGCAUUCAUCCCCUCCACUCCCAGUACUCCUGGCUUCUUAAAAUUUCUUCCUUUCCUGCUUUCAGACACAGUCCUCCUCCAUUAAAAAGUUUCUUAGCCUGCUCAGGGUGCUUUAAUAAUAGGUGGAUCUGAGAAAAAGAAGAGUUUGUCUCUUUCAGGUUUGAAGUAAAAUACUUGUCAUAUUUUAUGACAGCGAGCAUGUAUCUUGAUACAAAUGCAUCUCCAGACAGGCUGUUAAAUUACUUUUUUUUCUUCCCUCAUCAAGAAUUUUUUGACUACUGCAUUUUUUCCCUACCUAAAUGUAAACAUGGGAGAGACUAGGAAAAAAGGGCUAUCGAGUGGUUAGGUGGAAAUACGCGAGUAGCUUUGCAUGAUUAAUGGCUUUACCUUAAGUGUUGCACAUAGGCAACUUACCGGUAUCUUUCCCUAAAACAAGGUGAUUAAAGGGCUAUCCUGUGUAAAUACUGAGGAGCAAAGGACAGCAAUGCACGUCUAAGCCCCUAGGUAGGGAGAGCCAGGAUGUACAGUCAUUUUGCCCCCGCUAGUCACAGCCGCUCUUGCCGACACUUGAGGAAUGCAGGAUGUGCCUCAAAUAGAGCUUUACAAAUAUUCUCUGCUGCAGUCAUUUCAGCCGUUCCUGGUAUUAAUAUUAGCUCUCACUGACAACAGCUGGGGAUUUUAGUGACAGCGACUGCAGAAGAGUAUAAAUGUGGGUUGUUGUUUUUUUUUUUUCCCCUCUUUCAUGCCAGCUGAAAAGUGAACAUCAGACUCCCUAUACUGACUCAGAUGAAAGGUUGAACAAGCCCAGGCUCCUGUCUCUGGCAGUGGCCAGAGAAGCUUAAAGAAAGCAUAGAAGAACAAAACAAGCAUAAAAUAAUCCUUUCCCUACUCCAUCCUCCCCACAAAGUGAAUCUUUUCAGUUCUGGCACCUAUCCUGAUGAGAUAAGGAAGAAUAGCUUAAAGAAUCCAGUGGCAAGGAGGGGAGGGAGGUGCUCCCUUCAAAGUACUGGCAGGUUUUUGUUUUCUGAUCCAGUGCCAAAUGCUACAGUGGUACUUGCCAAAUGCCCUUGACAUGGUGCUUGUCCGAGGGCUUUACAGCAUUACACCAUGCUGUCUGUGCUGUGCUGCUUCUGCUGAAGUCUGUGGGAUUCCUCUUGUGCUGAAACUACUAAUUGUGAAAACCCAGCUUGUUUGGGCAUUAGUGUGCAUCUCUGGAGCACGAAGAACAGGAGAUCCCUGCCCAUGCUGUUAGCGGGACAAGCAGCUGGUAAGAGAUGUAUUUUUUCCUUGUCUGGCUGAGACUGGAGAACACGUAUGCUGCACAGGUGGGCAUCCUGGUUUACAGAGCUGUCACAGAGAGCUGGGAAUCGAGACCACGCUCUGAAAGGUAGGGCAGAUGCUGUGCUCAUCUAAGGACUCCUGGACAAUCCCACCUCAGGAUUAGGUCUGCACAAAAUGAUGGAGGCACAAGUGUGAUUCCUGAGGGGAAAAAACACACCAACUUUUUAAGCUCUUAAUUUUAAAAGCGACACAGUCUGGAAGCAUCAGCAUUUGUUCUGUCUCAUUAAACCUCAAGCCUGAGUUCCCAGAACAGUUUUUCCAGAGGAAAGCGUCCAUAGGCAGGUGUUUCUUGCCAGCUGAUCUGGACCUUCAGCAGUUCCUAGCUCCGAGCAAGCUUCCUCAGCAGAGGGACGCGCCGCAGCACCGCUAAGCUUGCAAACGCCGUUCGCUACUUCAAAGAAGUUAAAAGUACCAAACACACCAGCAGACCUUGCCAGCUCCAUAAGCCAAACAAACUGCAGUUUAAGGAGGUCAGAAAGAACUCAGACACACCUGGAAAUACUCAUAAAGCUCUCGAGCCUAAUCACUGUUGCUCAAGGUGUCCAGGAGCUCUGCAAACAUUUGAACAACGUGUGUGAGCCAGACAGGUGUGGCUUCAGCAGCUCCGAUGGCCAAAGGAACCCAGGAGGCCAGGAGCACUCGCCCAUUUCUUAAUUCGUUUGUGCCAGGAUCAGCUCAGACACCAUCCUGCUCUGCAGGCAGGUGACCGCUGCUUGUGCUGUGGCUCUACUCCUCCCCAUCCUGUGCACCCUGCCCGCUGUUGGGAACAGCACCUUCCAGCCCACAUUCUCUAGCCUGAUCUCCCUUGGCCAUAGGACACCUGUAAAAGACGUUAAUUUUGGAGAAAGAUGGGGCGCAGCCGUCCUGGAGAAUGAGAUGCUUUUAAAGCAUCUUUAAGUGACUGAGGCUUGCAACGCUCCAAAUAGUUGGCUGUUGUUAUGUAGGCAUAUAUGUCUCUGCGAAUGUUUCCCGUUGUUGGUUUUACUUCCCAGCUGGGCAUUCAGGCCGGGUGUUACCUCAGUUUCUUUCGGUGUGAGUCAGCACCACAGUUUUGAGAGAUGAUGGCUACAUCUACUGAAAAUGGAGGCUUGAAACUUUCACAGAAGAACAGCGGAAAUCAAAAUAUUGUGAUGGGACUAACAAUUAUGUGCACAGAAACUGGUAACGAAAGCAGAAACAGAGGUAGGGUUUCUUAGCUGUGGGGAUAACACGGCCCAGAGGUCCUCUGGGGACUGUCUGCAGGAAUCAGCAUGAUUCGGGUGCGUCAUUUAGGGGGAAAAGCAGGAAGCAAGCUGAAUCAAAAAUAAUAACAAUAAUGCUAGAACCCAUCAUGGUACGCUCCGGCUGGAUCUCUUUUGCUACGAGAAAGCAAUGUUUAGAGACACUAAUGCUAUUGUACUCGUUAAUUCCGAGGUGUUUUCUAUAGAUAUUUCUUGAUAGCUGCUGUCCCAGGGGGAAAGACAAUAGCUAUUGUAUUUGCUUAAGACAGUGCUCCAGAAUUUCAGCAGCUGGGGUGAAAAUAGGAGCACGGAGACUGAACACAAGUAACGUCCUGUUGCAGCAGAAGGGUGGGAUGCACAGGGGGUCACUGCACUCCGUUAAUUCGAAGGAUAAUUAACCAUGAAGCUUUGAACUCUUACUUAAAUGGCUAAUGUCCUAAGGAUGCUCAGAAAUGGAGCGUGGUUGCCACUGUUGUGCUGUGGCUGGCUGCCUGGCCCAGGGGAACCUGCUUUCGGGGGGCAUCUGCACCAGCCAGCGCUGCUUCUGCGAGCCUGCUCGAAAAGAGUUUCCCUUCCUCCUGAGAAAUGCUGACGAGAUUGUAAUUGUUUCGGUGAUUCUGACGCGGAGCCUGUUCAAAAACCCAGCUGCAGAGCAGUGGUAUUAUAAAUACCGUGCAGUUAUUGUUCUUAGUAGUGUCAUUUUCAGCAUUACUAACAGCCCGUGCAGACCGUGCUGUGCGUCGCUCGGUGCUUCUCUGAAGUGAUGUUCUCAGGGCAAGGUUUUCUCGCUCCCCCGAUGCUGUAACGCACCACACUUUUUCCAGUGCAGAGGCAGCGUCCCGUGCUCGCUCUGUACUGGCAUUUUCAGGAAAGAACAUUUCCCGUUCUUGGCUGAAAUAAUUCAUUUUCUGUGGGAGCUGCGUGCUUUUGGUGUGUUAGUGGCAGAACAUCAGACUAGAACCAGGUUCUCUACUUAACUGGCUCCAGAAGAGCGGCUAUGAUCACUAACCACAUAUUUUUUAACAACUUGUAGACUGUGGGGAAGUUGAACAACACCUUAGCAAAUAAGUUAUUUUACAUUUAAGACUCGUGCUUUUCCAGCCGGUCCUCUGUGCUGCCACAUGCUGAAACUGGACCUACUGGUGUGGAGUGGGGCAUGGUGCUCACAGCUGCAGGACCCCGCCUGACUUUUGGUGCUGUUUGCUGUUACCAUACCUGAAAUGAGAUGAUGCUCAUCACAACUGUGAGUGAACCUCGAUCCGAUGUCCUUCGGAGUAAGGCAAGGAUCAGUGUUUGUGUUAUUCUGAUCCUGAUGGGCCUGUUUUAUUCUGUUUGUCUAGAGUAAGGAUAACUUUCAUGUUGAUUUUUGGUAAUUCUGUGCUGGGCAGCAGUUUUUCACAGCAGUGGCUCCUGACGGUGAGGCUGGCCCAGCUGGUGAGGUGUGAGCUGUGCGUACUGCGGGGGGAUCUGAAGGGAAUAAACUGCAAGAUCUGCACGGGCUGCAUGGGCUCCAGCCUCCUGGGACUGUCCUGCAGCGACAGAGGGUUGGAGAGCAUCACUGGAGAGCUUGGUCCUGUUAUCAGUGCUGCUGAAAGAGGUGAUAAAGCAUCUCGGAGGAGCUGCCUGGGGCAGAGAAAAGGCAGAAUGGGCAUGGUGGCUAUGUCAGGACUAGGAGGGAGAGGGCGAGGCAAUGCAGUGCCGGCGUGGAUGGGAUACGAGUGAGCAGGGCUUAAGGAGCCUUGGUUUGGCUGCCGGUCCUCCCAAGUGCAGCUUGGCUACAAAAUGGUGCACCUUUGGCAGCUAGGAGCUGUGAUUUCUUCCUUAAGCUGGUAUAUUCCAUGCAACAGAAACUCUGUUAACUCCUUUAGUGACAGUUUGUAGCGCACAUCCUGGCUGUUUAAUUGGAUUUAUCAUGGCUAUUGGGAGCAUAAAUGUGUUUACAGAUUUGUUGUGAAAGCUUUUUAGUCUGUUUUUCUCAUAGCAAGUCAACUUCCAUGUGGUGCAAUUAUGUUCAAGAUGUUCCCUGUAGCACUGGAAUAAUGUCAGAUUAUAUUGUGUGUGCAUAUUGUUCUUCAAAAGGAUUUCAUCCGAGGCACAAUGCGCCGUGUCAGAAGAAGGGAGUCUUGGUUUUUAUUAAGAGAGGCGUGCUAAGCUCAAAACACAGGAAAUUCUGUCAAAUCCUCUCAUCUUAUUAGAGAGAAAUGCUUGUCUCUGUCUACUGAAACGUGAAACUUUUCCCCAUUAACUCCCCUCCUGCAACAUCUAGCUCUGCCAGAACUCAGUCCAUCCAUCUACACUUUUCCCCGCUUGUAGUGCAGCCCAGUGCAACCUUUUCAGCGUUGGAAGUUUGCAGCAAACGGUGAGACGUUUCAGAGAGGAGUCGGGGCGAAGAAAAGAGGACUUUCAUUUGGUUUGAAAGGUUUUGUAGCUCUUGUUUGGUUCAUCACCCCGUGUAGUUCAGCCUGGAAACUUCCCGUGUGCUUGAUGUGGUCGUGCUCAGAAGGACUCUGAAGAAGCCAAAGUUUGUGAUUCCCUAAUAACGUCGUGGUGGAGAGCAGUAAAGCAGUGGCUGUAACAACUGCUCUGUGCUGUAGGUGCAGAAGGAAAUGGGGCGUGCUGUCCGUGGGGCUGGAUGGGGCAGUGCCACCCAGGGCUGUCCCUGGUCCCCAGCACCAAACGCGGCUGGAGGAAGCUUUCUAGCCUGAGAAAGAGCUGAGGCACUUCUGUAGGAAAUAAGAAGCUGUUCUCUGCUGCUCGUUCCUCGAUCCGGUGGCUGAACCCAUUCCUGGCCUCGUGUGGCUGCUGGAGGCUCUGAGGUCCCGCAGGGCUCGCUAGGUGGGGUGGGAGCAGGACCCGGCGUCAGCCCCUGGUGCCCCAGCUUUGCCUAUCACGUCUCUGUCACCAGAGCUGUCUGAGGAGUGUGCUCCACCUCAUAAAAAGGCGGCUGAAGCAUCUCAGCAAGGAGAAAGCAGGCAGGUGGAGGAGAGCAGGCUCCCAUGAGCAAAAUCACCACCUGCCAGCACUCCUCUGGGGACAGCCUCACAUGGCUGGAGCCCAGCGGGUACCAGCAGGAGCAAGACACAGUAAAAGUUCACGUUGGCUUCUCACAGGGGUGGUAGUAAGAGGAUGUGGAGCUGUGUGGCUGCUGCAGAGGGGACGUUUUGGUCCUGGACCCACAGUUGGAUGUCAGGGGCUCCACCAAGCAGUGUUGCACCAAGGAUGAAGCUGGCCCCUAAUGCUCGUUCUUGAAGUGUUGUGUUGUGUUUUUUUUUCCACUUAGGUAACAAUGCGAUUUCCUCUCUGAUGACAGUUCAGAUAUUAAAUGUCACAUCUGCCUAAUACUUUCAUUCUUAACUACAACAAGCUUUCCCAAUGCUUCUAAAGCAGACAUUUGUGGUACGUUUCCCAGCUGAACGAUACUCAGAAACCAAAAUUUGUUCUGUAACCCGUUGUUGUUGUUGUUGUUAGUAGUGAGUCUUGUACGGGGAUUACUCAGAGAAGCAGCACAACAAUUCUCCCUAACGUGGGAAAAGUCAGGGUUUUCAGAUGCCACCAUUUUGAGCCUGUAACCUCUAUUUCAGUAGCAGGUUUUCUUGUUCAAAGUUGCACUGAAGAACAAUUUCCAGGGACUUUCCUCUCUUCUCUGUCCACAAGGAUGCAGCUACCUGCCCUUCUGUCUUAAGCGCUAAAGACAUGAGGGAGCAGGAUAAAGGACACAAGCAGAUGAGAGCUACAUGGGAAGGAAAAUCCAUAUUGCAAUUGUUUGAUAAAAAUGCAAGGGAUCGCUGGCAAUCGUGUUUUUGGUGGCCCUAUGCAGAUUCACAUCGGCUGUGAAUCUGGGCCAAGAAACUGAGAGUACAGCUGUGACCACGUAUGCACAAGCUUCAGCUGAUCUUUCUCAUUGGUUUAGUAUAUCUAAAUCUGCAGGUGUACUUUGCCAACUGAAAACUUUGGCCUUGAUUUAUUUCUUUUUUAAAGUCUGAAGGUUUGUACAAGUAUGUAAGAGUGUACCCAAGAAUGCAGAAACCUUUGCGUGUGUGCUUAAUCAGGUAGAUAUUUGCCAGGCUUUCUAGAGCAGUUUAAUGUACUUUCAGAAGAGGGAAGAAAAGAAAAAAAAAAAAAAAAAAAAAAGCAUCUUUAAAAAGCACAAAAUAUACUCUGUGUACUCUAUGGAAGCUCAGGGUCCAGGUCAUUUUACAGAAUUCAAGUUUUUGCUAUGCUUCAAUCCAGUUAAAAAGCCCGAAAGAUGAGCCAUUUUAAAGUACUUCACAAGACCCAUGAGUCAUGCAAAAUCCUAUCACAUUUUUCCCUCUGCUGGAAAUCACAGAAGUUGUGAAUGGUAAACGAGCUAUUAAAUCAUAGAUAAAGAAUGCUGCAGGAUGGGUUGGUUAAAAAAAAAAAAAAAAAAAAAAAAACAUAUAUAUAUAAUUAAAUAAUAAUUUAAAAAAGAAAAAACAACAA
Long non-coding RNA from Cygnus olor (mute swan), 8280 nucleotides. RefSeq lists it as uncharacterized. Lineage: Eukaryota; Metazoa; Chordata; Aves; Anseriformes; Anatidae. The transcript is spliced from 4 exons. The record is from RefSeq and is a predicted model, not a curated record.